AGCUCCAAUAGCGUAUAUUAAAGUUGUUGCGGUUAAAAGCUCGUAGUUGGAUUUCUGUCGAGAACGCGCGGUCCACGCUUUGCGUGAGCAUCUGUGUCGGUCUUGGCAUCCUCUAGAGGAUCGUUUCUGCGCUUGAUUGCGUGGGGCGGAACUCUAGACUUUUACUUUGAGGAAAUUAGAGUGUUCACGGCAGGCAAACGCCUUGAAUACAUUAGCAUGGAAUAAUAAGAUAGGACUUUGGUGCUAUUUUGUUGGUUUGCAUACCAAAUUAAUGAUCAACAGGAACAGUUUGAGGAUAUUCGUAUGAACAUGUCAGAGGUGAAAUUCUUGGAUUUUGAUCAGACGAACUACUGCGAAAGCAUUUAUCAAGGAUGUUUUCA
RNAcentral lists this ribosomal RNA (380 nucleotides) under uncultured eukaryote. Its description in RNAcentral is "SSU rRNA". It matches the Rfam family "Eukaryotic small subunit ribosomal RNA", at positions 587 to 972 of the family's 1831-position model. The record is from RNAcentral.